This is a long non-coding RNA of Telopea speciosissima, 156 nucleotides long. RefSeq lists it as uncharacterized. The record is from RefSeq and is a predicted model, not a curated record. NCBI's taxonomy places the organism in Eukaryota, Viridiplantae, Streptophyta, Magnoliopsida, Proteales, Proteaceae. The transcript is spliced from 3 exons.
AACACCAACUCCGCCUUACCUCAUCCAAACUAAAUGGGGCCUGCUACAUGGAUCCGUGCCCUCCAAUCAGCUCUAUUUGAGGUUGUACUUGAUACAAGGCCUAAGCUAUGCAUGUCUUUCCUCACCACUUCUCCUAAGGUCAUUUUAGGUCUGUCC